RNAcentral lists this ribosomal RNA (351 nucleotides) under uncultured bacterium. Its description in RNAcentral is "bacterial SSU rRNA". It matches the Rfam family "Bacterial small subunit ribosomal RNA", at positions 917 to 1270 of the family's 1533-position model. The record is from RNAcentral.
GGGCCCGCACAAGUGGUGGAGUAUGUGGUUUAAUUCGAUGCAACGCGAAGAACCUUACCAGGGUUUGACAUCCUGCGAAUCUCUUGGAAACAGGAGAGUGCCUUCGGGAACGCAGUGACAGGUGGUGCAUGGCUGUCGUCAGCUCGUGUCGGAGAUGUUGGGUUAAGUCCCGCAACGAGCGCAACCCACGUCUUUAGUUGCCAGCAUUUAGUUGGGCACUCUAGAGAGACUGCCGGUGAUAAACCGGAGGAAGGUGUGGAUGACGUCAAGUCAUCAUGCCCCUUACAUCCUGGGCUACACACGUACUACAAUGCUACGGACAAAGGGCUGCAAGUUCGCGAGGACAAGAAA